GGAUGAACGCUGGCGGCGUGCUUAACACAUGCAAGUCGAACGAAGCAUUUAGGACAGAUUACUUCGGUUUGAAGUUCUUUAUAACUGAGUGGCGGACGGGUGAGUAACGCGUGGGUAACCUGCCUUGUACUGGGGGAUAGCAGCUGGAAACGGCUGGUAAUACCGCCUAAGCGCACAAUGUUGCAUGACAUGGUGUGAAAAACUCCGGUGGUAUAAGAUGGACCCGCGUCUGAUUAGCUAGUUGGUGAGAUAACAGCCCACCAAGGCGACGAUCAGUAGCCGACCUGAGAGGGUGACCGGCCACAUUGGGACUGAGACACGGCCCAGACUCCUACGGGAGGCAGCAGUGGGGAAUAUUGCACAAUGGAGGAAACUCUGAUGCAGCGACGCCGCGUGAGUGAAGAAGUAAUUCGUUAUGUAAAGCUCUAUCAGCAGGGAAGAUAGUGACGGUACCUGACGAAGAAGCUCCGGCUAAAUACGUG
RNAcentral lists this ribosomal RNA (482 nucleotides) under uncultured bacterium. RNAcentral describes it as "partial 16S ribosomal RNA". It matches the Rfam family "Bacterial small subunit ribosomal RNA", at positions 27 to 507 of the family's 1533-position model. The record is from RNAcentral.